This is a long non-coding RNA of Myotis myotis, 1615 nucleotides long. RefSeq lists it as uncharacterized. The record is from RefSeq and is a predicted model, not a curated record. NCBI's taxonomy places the organism in Eukaryota, Metazoa, Chordata, Mammalia, Chiroptera, Vespertilionidae. The transcript is spliced from 3 exons.
UCGACGUGAGAGAGACACAUCAAUUGCUUGCCUCUUGCAUGCGCCCGGACCAGGGGACCAGGGCUGGGGAUCAAAUCUGCAUGCCCUUGAUCGGGAAUCUAACUGGAAACCCUUCAGCAUGAGGGGUGAUGCUUUAACCACUGAACACACUGGCCAAGGGACACGAUACCUGAAAGACAUUUGAUGAAGCCAGAAAAGGAUGCUGACAAGCAAGAAUAUUUAAGUUGAAAUCAAGACCUUUCUUCUCCUGGGUGGAGGCUCCCAGAUACAAAAGGUCCUAGGACGAGCUCAGAAGUUUACCACUUUUCAAAAUGCCUGUUGUUCAGGGAAGAUGGACCAGUGAAAGGAUGGACUGUCUGUGGCUGAAUAUCUGGGAAUCCCUGCCUGUGACUCAGGUAUCUCCACCCCCUUUGUAAUGACAUCCAUCAUUUUGGAUAGAUGGGGUUUGACAGCUGUGUAGUCCCCAAAACUCACAUUGUCAGUGCAACUACAGUGACCAGGCUUUCAGGAAUGGAUUCAUGCUAGCCAGACUCACCGAAGACUCUUAAGUGAACGGCAUGACCACUCACAUGGGGACAUUCUUCUCCAGUGACCAAGGACGCGUGGCUAUGUUCUCCAGGACCCUCGCUGCUCAAUCCUGGGUACCUGGGAACACUCCUAGUGCCCAGGAAGUUGUUUGGCGAUCUCACAAUCACAACAGAGAAAGGGAUGGUGUUAUGGGUUGAAUUGUGUCCCCUCCCAAUUCACAUGUCGAAGUCCUAACUCCUAACACCUCAGGAUGUGACCUAUUUGGAAACAGAUUCAUUGCAGAUGUACUUUGUUAAGAUUAAGAGUAGAGUGGCUCUUAAUCCAGUAUGACUGGUGUCCUUGUAAAAAAAGGAAAAUUUGUACACAGAUGCACACAUAGAGGGAAGACGUCAUGUGAGGAUGAAGGCAGAGAUCGGCAUGAUGCAUCUUUAAGCCAAGGAACCCCAAGGAUUUGCCAGCACAUCCCCAGAAGCCAGAAGAGGGGCACAGAAUGAAUUCCCCCUCGCUGCCCAGCCCGCACCCAGAAGGAAUCAAUCCUGCCAGCUCCUUGAGACGUCUAGCCUCCAGCACUUUGAGACAAUAAGUAGUUUAAACCAGCUGGUUGCUUUAACUUUUUAAGGCAGCCCUAACAAACUAAUACUAGUUGCAGAGCUUGACAAAUCACCUCCCAACCCUGGCUAGGGGCCAGAUUGUCUGUCAUCCCUAGGUCUAGUCUCCAUCCCUUGGACAGUGCUGGGAACACACUCCCCACAUGUUGGUCUUUGGGUUUCCUUCUUCUAAAUGUGAGAACAUCUUUCCUCUUCUAUUUAUACAUUCUUCCUUCUGUUCGCUUAAUACCACUCAUUAUAUCUCAGUUCUCUUUGUCAUGGUAUAGUCGUGUUUCCUAUUACACCUGUGUUGAGCCUGCUGAGCAUUCUGCAAACUAUUCUCAGUUUUAGUGAUUAGAAGAAUCACCUGGGCCUGCUGAUUAAAAAGAUAAAAAUAAAAAAGAACAAGAAAGAAAGAAAUAUUUUUGGAAGCAGAUUGAUUACCCCACCCCUCAAAAUUUUGAUUUGUAGUUUUGUGAUGGGACCCAGGAAUAAUUAUA